Molecule: ribosomal RNA, 303 nt
Filed under: uncultured bacterium
Lineage: Bacteria
Description: partial 16S ribosomal RNA
Rfam family: Bacterial small subunit ribosomal RNA
Source: RNAcentral
AGCAGUCGCCGCGGUAAUACGUAGGUCCCGAGCGUUGUCCGGAUUUAUUGGGCGUAAAGCGAGCGCAGGCGGUUUGAUAAGUCUGAAGUUAAAGGCUGUGGCUCAACCAUAGUUCGCUUUGGGAACUGUCAAACUUGAGUGCAGAAGGGGAGAGUGGAACUCCAUGUGUAGCGGUGAAAUGCGUAGAUACAUGGAGGAACACCGGUGGCGAAAGCGGCUCUCUGGUCUGUAACUGACGCUGAGGCUCGAAAGCGUGGGGAGCGAACAGGAUUAGAUACCCCUGUAGUCCCUGUCUCUUAUACC